RNAcentral lists this long non-coding RNA (323 nucleotides) under Lathyrus oleraceus (garden pea). RNAcentral describes it as "Pisum sativum (pea) long non-coding RNA (PSAT_LNC008399)". The record is from RNAcentral. Lineage: Eukaryota; Viridiplantae; Streptophyta; Magnoliopsida; Fabales; Fabaceae.
CUGGCAGCACCAGCUUUGCAAAAACCCAAGGCCAAACCCAGAUAUAAAAACUUUAUUUAUCGAUCACUCAUGUUCACCUUCCAAUGGUCCUCUGGCACCAACACCUGUCAAUCUUCCAGUUUCUGCUGUUGCAAAGCCUGCUGCUUACAAGGCCAAACCCAGAUAUAAAAACUUUAUUUAUCGAUCACUCAUGUUCACCUUCCAAUGGUCCUCUGGCACCAACACCUGUCAAUCUUCCAGUUUCUGCUGUUGCAAAGCCUGCUGCUUAUACUUCUCUUGGAGUGGGAGCUCAUGGUGUAUGAUACCCUGCAUUUCAAAAAUUG